GUCGAACGAAUGUUGUUAGGUAGUAAUACCCGACGACGUUAGUGGCGAACGGGUGAGUAACACGUGAGAAUCUGCCGAGAAGUUCGGAAUAACCCAUCGAAAGGUGGGCUAAUACCGGAUGUGGAACAUGUUCUAAAGGUGGGGACCUUCGGGCCUACCGCUUCUCGAUGAGCUCGCGGCCUAUCAGCUAGUUGGUGAGGUAAUGGCUCACCAAGGCGAAGACGGGUAACUGGUCUGAGAGGACGAUCAGUCACACUGGAACUGAGACACGGUCCAGACACCUACGGGUGGCAGCAGUCGAGAAUCAUUCACAAUGGGGGAAACCCUGAUGGUGCGACGCCGCGUGGGGGAUGAAGGGCCUAGGUCCGUAAACCCCUGUCAUUUGUGAGAAAUUCAUGCGAGCUAAUAACUCGUAUGUUGAUAGUAGCAAAAGAGGAAGGGACGGCUAACUCCGUGCCAGCAGCCGCGGUAAUACGGAGGUCCCAAGCGUUGUUCGGAUUCACUGGGCGUAAAGGGUGCGUAGGCGGUGGGAAAAGUUUGAUGUGAAAGCUCCGAGCUCAACUCGGAAACUGCAUUGAAAACUAGCUCACUAGAGGAUCGGAGAGGGGAGUGGAAUUCUUGGUGUAGCAGUGAAAUGUGUAGAUAUCAAGAGGAACACCAGUGGCGAAGGCGACUCCCUGGACGAAUCCUGACGCUGAGGCACGAAGGCUAGGGUAGCAAACAGGAUUAGAUACCCUGGUAGUCCUAGCAGUAAACGGUGCGCACUUGCUGUGGGCGGAUUCGACCCCGUCCGUGGCGGAGCUAACGCGUUAAGUGCGCCGCCUGAGGAGUACGGUCGCAAGGUUAAAACUCAAAGAAAUUGACGGGGGCCUGCACAAGCGGUGGAGUAUGUGGCUUAAUUCGAUGCAACGCGAAGAACCUUACCUGGGUUUGACAUGCAUCUCUAAGUCUGUGAAAGCAGGCGAGUCUUCGGACAAUUUGCACAGGUGCUGCAUGGCUGUCGUCAGCUCGUGUCGUGAGAUGUUGGGUUAAGUCCCGCAACGAGCGCAACC
RNAcentral lists this ribosomal RNA (1052 nucleotides) under uncultured bacterium. Its description in RNAcentral is "bacterial SSU rRNA". It matches the Rfam family "Bacterial small subunit ribosomal RNA", at positions 61 to 1103 of the family's 1533-position model. The record is from RNAcentral.